Molecule: ribosomal RNA, 253 nt
Filed under: uncultured bacterium
Lineage: Bacteria
Description: partial 16S ribosomal RNA
Rfam family: Bacterial small subunit ribosomal RNA
Source: RNAcentral
UACGUAGGGUGCAAGCGUUGUCCGGAAUUAUUGGGCGUAAAGAGCUCGUAGGCGGUUUGUCGCGUCUGCUGUGAAAACUCGGGGCUUAACUCCGGGUCUGCAGUGGGUACGGGCAGACUAGAGUGCGGUAGGGGAGACUGGAAUUCCUGGUGUAGCGGUGAAAUGCGCAGAUAUCAGGAAGAACACCCGUGGCGAAGGCGGCUCUCUGGUACGUGACUGACGCUGAGACGCGAAAGCGUGGGGAGCGAACAGG